Molecule: long non-coding RNA, 136 nt
Organism: Frieseomelitta varia
Lineage: Eukaryota; Metazoa; Arthropoda; Insecta; Hymenoptera; Apidae
Exons: 3
Source: RefSeq, a predicted model, not a curated record
GGCUCUAUUUUAAGGAGACGUUUAUUCCGCGGAACGAUCAUCGAGUGAACGAUACAGAGAGCCCGGGUAAUACGAAUUUUCGAUGAGCCGAGUAUUUCGUCUCGAAUGCUAACGAAAAAAAUUCGAUGAAAUUUUC